GCCACCGUGGCGGAAUCGGUAGACGCACCGGACUUAAAAUCCGUUGCUCCGCGAGGGGUGUGCGGGUUCGAGUCCCGCCGGUGGUA
RNAcentral lists this transfer RNA (86 nucleotides) under Verrucomicrobiota bacterium. Its description in RNAcentral is "Verrucomicrobia bacterium (mine drainage metagenome) tRNA-Leu". It matches the Rfam family "tRNA". From Rfam's summary of the family: Transfer RNA (tRNA) molecules are approximately 80 nucleotides in length. Their secondary structure includes four short double-helical elements and three loops (D, anti-codon, and T loops). Further hydrogen bonds mediate the characteristic L-shaped molecular structure. tRNAs have two regions of fundamental functional importance: the anti-codon, which is responsible for specific mRNA codon recognition, and the 3' end, to which the tRNAs corresponding amino acid is attached (by aminoacyl-tRNA synthetases). tRNAs cope with the degeneracy of the genetic code in two manners: having more than one tRNA (with a specific anti-codon) for a particular amino acid; and 'wobble' base-pairing, i.e. permitting non-standard base-pairing at the 3rd anti-codon position. Lineage: Bacteria; Pseudomonadati; Verrucomicrobiota. The record is from RNAcentral.